RNAcentral lists this ribosomal RNA (511 nucleotides) under uncultured Bacteroidales bacterium. RNAcentral describes it as "bacterial SSU rRNA". It matches the Rfam family "Bacterial small subunit ribosomal RNA", at positions 28 to 528 of the family's 1533-position model. Lineage: Bacteria; Pseudomonadati; Bacteroidota; Bacteroidia; Bacteroidales. The record is from RNAcentral.
GAUGAACGCUAGCUACAGGCUUAACACAUGCAAGUCGCAGGGUAACAUGAGGGAAGCUUGCUUUCCUUGAUGACGACUGGCGCACGGGUGAGUAACGCGUAUCCAACCUUCCCAUAACUACGGGAUAACCCGUUGAAAGACGGCCUAAUACCGUAUGAUAUCGUUUGCUGACAUCAAAUAACGAUUAAAGGUUUAGCGGUUAUGGAUGGGGAUGCGUCUGAUUAGCUUGUUGGCGGGGUAACGGCCCACCAAGGCGACGAUCAGUAGGGGUUCUGAGAGGAAGGUCCCCCACAUUGGAACUGAGACACGGUCCAAACUCCUACGGGAGGCAGCAGCGAGGAAUAUUGGUCAAUGGGCGAGAGCCUGAACCAGCCAAGUAGCGUGCAGGAUGACCGCCCUAUGGGUUGUAAACUGCUUUUAUGUGGGGAUAAAGUGCGUGACGUGUCAUGCAUUGCAGGUACCACAUGAAUAAGGACCGGCUAAUUCCGUGCCAGCAGCCGCGGUAAAAGGG